UGGGGAAUUUUGGACAAUGGGCGCAAGCCUGAUCCAGCAAUGCCGCGUGAGUGAAGAAGGCCUUCGGGUUGUAAAGCUCUUUUGUCAGGGAAGAAACGGCCGAGGCUAAUAUCCUCGGUUAAUGACGGUACCUGAAGAAUAAGCACCGGCUAACUACGUGCCAGCAGCCGCGGUAAUACGUAGGGUGCAAGCGUUAAUCGGAAUUACUGGGCGUAAAGCGUGCGCAGGCGGUUUUGUAAGUCUGUCGUGAAAUCCCCGGGCUCAACCUGGGAAUUGCGAUGGAGACUGCAAGGCUAGAAUCUGGCAGAGGGGGGUAGAAUUCCACGUGUAGCAGUGAAAUGCGUAGAGAUGUGGAGGAACACCGAUGGCGAAGGCAGCCCCCUGGGUCAAGAUUGACGCUCAUGCACGAAAGCGUGGGGAGCAAACAG
Molecule: ribosomal RNA, 428 nt
Filed under: uncultured bacterium
Lineage: Bacteria
Description: bacterial SSU rRNA
Rfam family: Bacterial small subunit ribosomal RNA
Source: RNAcentral